GAAAGAAAAGAAAUCCAGAUAAACUCAGGAAAAGACCUCACUGAAGUCUGACUUUAGCACUACGAGCUCAGAUAUCAACCAAGUACUUAAUAAUGCGGAGAGGCUGUUGUUUUGACUUUGGUGAUGCGGAAAGAGCAUUUUGGAGGAGAAUGAUAUGAAUUAGGCUUUGAAGACCAGAAUUGUUCAGCUGCCUAGUAAAGGAACAAGAAGAAACAGAUGGUUGGCUUAACCAGGUCUGGAGAUUGACACGACAGUUGUGACCCAAGAUGAGUGA
Molecule: long non-coding RNA, 274 nt
Organism: Mesoplodon densirostris (Blainville's beaked whale)
Lineage: Eukaryota; Metazoa; Chordata; Mammalia; Artiodactyla; Ziphiidae
Exons: 3
Source: RefSeq, a predicted model, not a curated record